GAUGAAGAACGUAGCGAAAUGCGAUAAGUAAUGUGAAUUGCAGAAUUCAGUGAAUCAUCGAAUCUUUGAACGCACAUUGCGCCCCUUGGUAUUCCAUGGGGCAUGCCUGUUCGAGCGUCAUUUGUACCUUCAAGCUCUGCUUGGUGUUGGGUGUUUGUCUCGCCUCUGCGUGUAGACUCGCCUCAAAACAAUUGGCGGCCGGCGUAUUGAUUUCGGAGCGCAGUACAUCUCGCGCUUUGCACUCAUAACGACGACGUCCAAAAGUACAUUUUUACACUCUUGACCUCGGAUCAGGUAGGGAUACCCGCUGAACUUAAGCAUAUCAAUAAGCGGAGGA
RNAcentral lists this unclassified non-coding RNA (337 nucleotides) under soil metagenome. RNAcentral describes it as "partial contains 5.8S ribosomal RNA, internal transcribed spacer 2, and large subunit ribosomal RNA". The stretch from base 1 to 120 matches the Rfam family "5.8S ribosomal RNA", at positions 35 to 154 of the family's 154-position model. The record is from RNAcentral.